CCUAGGGGAGGCAGCAGUGGGGAAGAUUGCACAAUGGGGGAAACCCUGAUGCAGCGACGCCGCGUGAGAGAAGAAGUAUUUCGGUAGGUAAAGCUCUAUCAGCAGGGAAGAAAAUGACGGUACCUGAGUAAGAAGCUCCGGCUAAAUACGUGACAGCAGCCGCGGUAAGACGUAUGGAGCAAGCGUUAUCCGGAUUUACUGGGCGUAAAGGGAGCGUAGGCGGCCUGCCAAGUCUGAUGUGAAAUACCGGGGCUCAACCCCGGGGCUGCAUUGGAAAGUGGCAGGCUGGAGGGCCGGAGAGGCCGGCCGAAUUCCUCUUGUAGCGGUGAACUGCGUAGCUCUUCGGCUGCAC
RNAcentral lists this ribosomal RNA (352 nucleotides) under uncultured bacterium. RNAcentral describes it as "partial 16S ribosomal RNA". It matches the Rfam family "Bacterial small subunit ribosomal RNA", at positions 338 to 707 of the family's 1533-position model. The record is from RNAcentral.